Molecule: ribosomal RNA, 330 nt
Filed under: uncultured Anaerolineaceae bacterium
Lineage: Bacteria; Bacillati; Chloroflexota; Anaerolineae; Anaerolineales; Anaerolineaceae
Description: bacterial SSU rRNA
Rfam family: Bacterial small subunit ribosomal RNA
Source: RNAcentral
UGCUGCAUGGCUGUCGUCAGCUCGUGUCGUGAGAUGUUCGGUUAAGUCCGCUAACGAGCGCAACCCUCGCUGUGUGUUACAAGUGUCACACGGAACUGCCGGUCAUAAACCGGAGGAAGUGGGGAUGACGUCAAGUCAGCAUGGCCUUUAUAUCCUGGGCUACACACACGCUACAAUGGGAAGGGACAAUAGGUUGCGAAGCCGCGAGGCGGAGCCAAUCCAGCAAAACUUCCCUCAGUUCAGAUUGCAGGCUGCAACUCGCCUGCAUGAAGUUGGAGUUGCUAGUAAACGCAGGUCAGCCAUACUGCGUUGAAUACGUUCCCGGGGCUU